This 427-nucleotide ribosomal RNA is filed under the name uncultured bacterium. RNAcentral's name for it is "bacterial SSU rRNA". It matches the Rfam family "Bacterial small subunit ribosomal RNA", at positions 355 to 774 of the family's 1533-position model. The record is from RNAcentral.
UGGGGAAUUUUGGACAAUGGGCGAAAGCCUGAUCCAGCCAUGCCGCGUGAGUGAAGAAGGCCUUCGGGUUGUAAAGCUCUUUUAGUCGGAAAGAAAGAGUUGCAAUGAAUAAUUGUGAUUUAUGACGGUACCGACAGAUAAAGCACCGGCUAACUACGUGCCAGCAGCCGCGGUAAUACGUAGGGUGCGAGCGUUAAUCGGAAUUACUGGGCGUAAAGGGUGCCCAGGCGGUCUUGCAAGUCAGAUGUGAAAGCCCCGGGCUUAACCUGGGAAUUGCGUUUGAAACUACAAGACUAGAGUGCAGCAGAGGGGAGUGGAAUUCCAUGUGUAGCAGUGAAAUGCGUAGAGAUGUGGAAGAACACCGAUGGCGAAGGCAGCUCCCUGGGUUGACACUGACGCUCAUGCACGAAAGCGUGGGGAGCAAACA